UGGGCCUGGGGAACUAGAAAAAUAACGCCAAGCACGUCGACCCGCCAUGGGAAAACCUUUGGCCUGGGGAAUCUCUUAACUGGCUGAGGUGCUAGACAGCGUUUCGCGUUGUAAGGGAAGGGCCUACCGAGAUAGAGAAGUGUCGGCGGAAUCUUGGAAAUGAUGAGAUCGGAAUAACGAGAAUGGUUUGCGUGACAUCUCUGUAACCUGGCAACCAAGGAGAGUGGACUGGAAUGGGUAUGCGUGAACAGUGAGGACUUCACUGUACUAGUCAGUGGGGACAGCAGAUAUCUUUGAGUGAGCAUGCAUACUACGUGGCCAUCAAAUUCAAAAUGACUGAGAAAGUAGAGCAACGUAUCUGCAUCAAAUUUUGCGUUAAGCUUGAACGCUCCACCGCAGAAACUAUUCAGAUGAUUCAGAAGGCUUUUGGGGACAAUGCAAUGAGUGCAGAGCAAAUAAAAGUGUGGCACAAAUGCUUCAAAGAUGGUCAAGAAUCUGCUGAAAGUGAUCCACAUUCUCGAAGGCCUGCAACAAGCAGAACACCUAAGAACGUUGAACAUGUACGGGCCGGAAUCAACAAAGAUCGGCGGCCAAGGUGACUCAGCCUCCCUACAGCCCAGAUUUGGCACUCUGGGACUUCUGGCUUUUCCUAAAACUAAAAUCACCUUUGAAAGGGAGGAGAUUUUGGAAAAUAUGAUGGGGCCGCUGAUGGCGAUUCCAACAAAGGAUUUUACAGUGUUUUGAGCAGUGGAAGAGAUGCUGGGAGAACUGUGUGAGGUUCCAGUGCCUACUUGAAGGGGACUGAGGUGUCAUUGUCCUGUGUGCAGUGUUUCUUGUACCUUGUAUCUUCUUCAGUAAAUGUCUCUAUUUUUCAUGUUACGUAGCUGGAUACUUUCUGUACAGACCUAGUAUACUGUUUUGCAGGAGUACAUUAAGUAAAUCAUUUACUUAAUUUAUCAUGAACAUCUCCCCAUGUCAUUUAAUAUUCUUCUUCAAUAUAUAAUUCUAUCAUGUGAGUGUGCCUUUGGGUAUUACCAUAUUUUUCUAACUAUAAGACACACUUCUUUUCCCUCCAAAUUUGAGAGGAAUAAUGGGUGUUAAUGCUGCUCUUGAGUUCUGUUUAUAUUUACAUUGGUGAAAUAUUAUGUCAUUAAAUAUCUUACCACA
This is a long non-coding RNA of Artibeus jamaicensis (Jamaican fruit-eating bat), 1167 nucleotides long. RefSeq lists it as uncharacterized. NCBI's taxonomy places the organism in Eukaryota, Metazoa, Chordata, Mammalia, Chiroptera, Phyllostomidae. The transcript has 2 exons. The record is from RefSeq and is a predicted model, not a curated record.